UACAGAGGAGCCAAGCGUUGUCCGGAUUGACUGGGCGUAAAGCGCACGCAGGCGGACGCGCGCGUGGGGUGUGAAAUCUGGCCGCUUAACGGCCAGGCGCCAUCCCAUACGGCGCGACUGGAGUGAUGCAGAGGUCGGUGGAAUUGCCGGUGUAGUGGUGAAAUGCGUAGAGAUCGGCAGGAACACCCAGGGGGAAACCAGCCGACUGGGCAUUGACUGACGCUGAGGUGCGAGAGCGUGGGGAGCGAACCGG
RNAcentral lists this ribosomal RNA (253 nucleotides) under uncultured bacterium. RNAcentral describes it as "partial 16S ribosomal RNA". It matches the Rfam family "Bacterial small subunit ribosomal RNA", at positions 524 to 776 of the family's 1533-position model. The record is from RNAcentral.